RNAcentral lists this ribosomal RNA (211 nucleotides) under uncultured Blastococcus sp. RNAcentral describes it as "partial 16S ribosomal RNA". It matches the Rfam family "Bacterial small subunit ribosomal RNA", at positions 975 to 1187 of the family's 1533-position model. The record is from RNAcentral. Lineage: Bacteria; Bacillati; Actinomycetota; Actinomycetes; Geodermatophilales; Geodermatophilaceae.
CUAGGCUUGACAUGCACGGAAAUCCUCCAGAAAUGGGGGGUCCGUAAGGGCCGUGCACAGGUGGUGCAUGGUUGUCGUCAGCUCGUGUCGUGAGAUGUUGGGUUAAGUCCCGCAACGAGCGCAACCCUCGUUCCAUGUUGCCAGCACGUGAUGGUGGGGACUCAUGGGAGACUGCCGGGGUCAACUCGGAGGAAGAGUGGGGAUGACGUCA